AAGGGCACCACAAGAACGCGUGGAGCAUGUGGCUUAAUUUGACUCAACGCGGGAAAUCUUACCGGGUCCGGACACACUGAGGAUUGACAGGCAAUAUUAAAAUAAGUAUACUUUCUGAGUAUUACUAUAUUUUAUGUUAAAUAUGCUAGUCCUUUCAUGAUUAUGUGAUAGGUGGUGCAUGGCCGUUCUUAGUUCGUGGAGUGAUCUGUCUGCUUAAUUGCGUUUCACUAAGGGCUUAUAAUUUUCAUGUGUGUUGCUAACACUUUGACCCCUACUUGUUAGCGUGCGUCUCAGAGUUAAGCACACGCUACUGUGUUCUGAAAGCAACGAACGUGACCGCAACCUCUUGUUGCCUUUUGCACGACGCUCAACUAAAUAUUUUAUAUUUUUGUUGAGUAAAAGAGGCUUUCAAAACUAGAGGGACCGCUGCAAUUUCUUUAAACCAGAGGAAGGUUGCGGCAAUAACAGGUCUGUGAUGCCCUUAGAUGUUCCGGGCUGCACACGUGCUACAAUGAUUAUUGCAGUGAGCAUCUCAUAUUAAUACACCGCUGUGCGAGUGUUGUUUGUCAUUUGCGUGGCAGUAACACUUUGUGCGCGGUAAAGCCUGCUUCGAAAGUAAGCGGGUAAUCAAUUAGAAGUAAUGAUUUCCCUUAGCACACAUAUAUGUAUACCUUAUAUCCGGUUAGAGCUUAGUUCUCUUUCAUCGUGUAUAUUUGCGUGUUACAUGUGCAAUUGUCAAUUCACGGUGGGGACAGACCAUUGUUAAUUGUUGGUCUCGGUCUUAACUAGGAAUGCCUUGUACGGGUCUUUGGUUCAACAGACCACCCGGAAUACGUCCCUGCCCUUUGUACACACCGCCCGUC
Molecule: ribosomal RNA, 863 nt
Filed under: Reophax sp.
Lineage: Eukaryota; Foraminifera; Lituolida; Reophacidae
Description: SSU rRNA
Rfam family: Eukaryotic small subunit ribosomal RNA
Source: RNAcentral